This 253-nucleotide ribosomal RNA is filed under the name uncultured bacterium. Its description in RNAcentral is "partial 16S ribosomal RNA". It matches the Rfam family "Bacterial small subunit ribosomal RNA", at positions 524 to 776 of the family's 1533-position model. The record is from RNAcentral.
UACGUAGGGCGCAAGCGUUGUCCGGAAUUAUUGGGCGUAAAGAGCUCGUAGGCGGUCUGUCACGUCUGCUGUGAAAACCCGGGGCUUAACCCCGGGCUUGCAGUGGAUACGGGCAGACUAGAGGCAGGUAGGGGAGAAUGGAAUUCCCGGUGUAGCGGUGAAAUGCGCAGAUAUCGGGAGGAACACCGGUGGCGAAGGCGGUUCUCUGCGCCUGACCUGACGCUGAGGAGCGAAAGCGUGGGGAGCGAACAGG